RNAcentral lists this ribosomal RNA (489 nucleotides) under uncultured bacterium. RNAcentral describes it as "bacterial SSU rRNA". It matches the Rfam family "Bacterial small subunit ribosomal RNA", at positions 28 to 517 of the family's 1533-position model. The record is from RNAcentral.
GAUGAACGCUAGCGGCAGGCUUAACACAUGCAAGUCGAGGGGUAUUUGGACUUCGGUUCAGAGAGACCGGCAAACGGGUGCGGAACACGUACACAACCUACCUUUAUCAGGGGGAUAGCCCAUAGAAAUGUGGAUUAAUACCCCAUAGUAUUAUGUGAUGGCAUCAUUAUAUAAUUAAAGAAUUUCGGAUAGAGAUGGGUGUGCGUAAGAUUAGCUAGUUGGUAGGGUAACGGCCUACCAAGGCAACGAUCUUUAGCUGAUGUGAGAGCAUGAUCAGCCACACGGGCACUGAGACACGGGCCCGACUCCUACGGGAGGCAGCAGUGAGGAAUAUUGGUCAAUGGACGGAAGUCUGAACCAGCCAUGCCGCGUGAAGGAUGAAGGCGUUCUGCGUUGUAAACUUCUUUUAUCUGGGAAGAAACCACAGAUUUCUAUUUGUGUUGACGGUACCAGAAGAAUAAGCACCGGCUAACUCCGUGCCAGCAGCCG